GGUUGUUCCGAAAGCUGUGGGUUAUCCAAAUCAUUCUGUUAGUAUCACUAACUUUCUAUUUCACCCCAUUGCUGACCUUGACCGCCAUUU
Molecule: Y RNA, 90 nt
Organism: Xenopus tropicalis (tropical clawed frog)
Lineage: Eukaryota; Metazoa; Chordata; Amphibia; Anura; Pipidae
Rfam family: Y RNA
About the family: Y RNAs are components of the Ro ribonucleoprotein particle (Ro RNP), in association with Ro60 and La proteins.
Source: Ensembl